Molecule: non-coding RNA, 643 nt
Organism: Biomphalaria pfeifferi
Lineage: Eukaryota; Metazoa; Mollusca; Gastropoda; Planorbidae
Source: the annotation of a GenBank genome assembly
CAAAAAUAUUGUAAUGACCUUUAUAUAACUUCUAGAUAGAUAAAACAAUAACACUAAAAGAAGUUCAAUAAAAGGGAGCGAAUACUUUACACAAAAAGAAAUGUUUGUCAAUACAGUACAUCAGUUGAAAAUCAUAAUUGGUAUAAAACAAACCAAUCAGCAAUUCUAAGUUAACCUUACAGCUUCAUGGGUCCUGUUGGUAUAAAGCAGUGAUGCCCAACCUAAUUCAAUCUGCUGGCCAUUUUAAUUUCCAACACUAGUGUCGCAGGCCACAUGAUCGAAAAGAUAUAAAAACUUAAUAAAAUUGAAAAGAAACUAUUUUUAUUUCAAACCCGAGGAUCUAGUACUUACAUUGAAUUAUUGGGAUAUUUGAAUUUUCUUUUUACACUUAAAAAAAUGGUUUAGUUGUGUUGAUAUUUGUUUGUUCUUGUUUUUUAAAAACAGCCACAUGUUGCCUAGCAAUGGUAUCAUGUAGUACAAAAAAAGUAAAGAUCCGUUCGCUUUUCCUAGUAGAUUCUAUACUCCUAGUUCAUGAACGCACAAAUGUUUAAUGCCUUGGUAGUAAUUCAUUAGAAAAAAGUGAGGACCCUAUCAUAGGUAAAGAUACAUAUUAAACAUUUUUUAAGGGGGGGGGGGGGGGGGG